RNAcentral lists this long non-coding RNA (1473 nucleotides) under Scophthalmus maximus (turbot). RNAcentral's name for it is "lncRNA (ENSSMAG00000037191.1)". The record is from RNAcentral. Lineage: Eukaryota; Metazoa; Chordata; Actinopteri; Pleuronectiformes; Scophthalmidae.
AUGGAGGUGUCAACCAUCCGUCAGGACACACACUGCGAGGGAGUGAAGACAGUUCAAUAUCUGCUGGGAGAACUCAAGGCUCUGAUCACCGGACAAGGCAGUGUUGCAGAGAGGCUGCUCAGUCACCUGGAGCAGGCCGUGUCCUCACCGCUGCUGAAUGAUGGCGACUCAAACAUCCAGACUGAGAGUGUUCCAGACAUGACGUCGCUGCACCGCCAAAACGUUCAGCUCCGCAGGCGUGUGCAGAUUUUGAACCAGCAGCUGAAGGAGAAAGAGAAAGCUGAGAGACGACAGAACAUGGAUAGCAACUCAGAAGUGGCGACUCUGCAGGAGGAGGAGCUCACCGUGGCUCAGUCCCGGCUGCAAGAGCUGCGGCGCGACGUCACAGAGUUGCGUACGGGCCUUCAGGACCGAGAGGCCCAGAACGCACUCAUCCGGACAGACUUGGAGGCGACGCGAAGCCGGCUGGUGGACGCGGAGCGAGAGAAGAGUGAGUUGGCCGCACUCGCCCAACAGAGACUGGAAGAGAUAGGGCGCCUGAAGAGGAUGCUCCAGAGCCGCAGCUCAUCGGAGUGUCCUGCAGCAGCUGACACGCACCAGCCUCCCACCGAGCACGUCGCUCGGUACCUGAUGUCUCUCGGCCGGCUGGGUCCCGCGGCCGCACAGAGGGAGAGCGGCGCCGCGGUCCACUUGUGCGACGUCCCACCCCAGCGGGGCGACACACCCGCAGAUCCCCCAGCUGCUCCCGUCGGCCGGUCACGCUGCCCGGGCGAAGUGCAGCCGCGCGGUUGGCGGGCGAACUCCACACUGUCCCAGUGCGAUGUGGAAUCUUUGUGGUCCGACUGGAGCGCGAGGUCGGGGUCGACCUUCGACACCCGGGACGAGGCGGCAUUCCGAGACGGCCUGGCAGCCCUGGAUGCGAGCAUAGCCAGUCUGCAGAAGACGAUUCAGCUGGAUCUGAGGAGGUGAUCCCUCCCCCGGCGCCACAUGAACUACUCUCCUCGUGUUUUCAUGAAAUAUACUGCACAAGCCUCCUCUGUAUCUUGUGUUUAGCUCUUAUCGAUCAUUUAAACUGUGACAUAUAAGAUUGGAAAUAAAGGAUUUUACUAAAUAUGUGUCUAGGCUGUGAUGUAAACAUGACGGGCAAGGUGGCCUCCUGGCUGGGCUUUUAAAACCUCUUCUCUCAAAGGAGCCUUUCUUUUGAAUUCAAACAUCACGCAGCACCACGCUGGCAGUGGCUCAGGAGCGGUGGGUCGUCCACCAACCUGGUUCCUGGUUCCAAUCCAGCAAACUCUCCCCGGUCCACAUGCAAAUGUGUCGUUGGGCGAGACAUUGAAUCCUGAAGUGCCUCUGCAUGGUGGCUCUUCAGCAAGUGUAUGAAUGGGACAGUGCGGUGAACAGCAGCGCUGUGUGAAUGGGACUUGUACUGUCUGUGAUACAUUGUCCAUUGACCAUUAAGCUGUAAUAAAUAAA